This 253-nucleotide ribosomal RNA is filed under the name uncultured bacterium. RNAcentral's name for it is "partial 16S ribosomal RNA". It matches the Rfam family "Bacterial small subunit ribosomal RNA", at positions 524 to 776 of the family's 1533-position model. The record is from RNAcentral.
UACACAGGGGGCUAGAGUUGUUCGGAUUUACUGGCCGUAAAGAGCUUGUAGGCGGGCCGUUAAGUUGGGGGUGAAAUCCCGGAGCUCAACUCCGGAACUGCCUCCAAAACUGGCGGCCUGGACUCAAGCAGAGGCAAGUGGAAUUGCGAGUGUAGAGGUGAAAUUCGUAGAUAUUCGCAGGAACACCAGUGGCGAAGGCGACUUGCUGGGCUUGUAGUGACGCUGAGACGCGAAAGAGUGGGGAGCAAACAGG